AGAUGUGAGGGGAUCUGGCAAUCACUAGGGUCUAUUUGGCUGAUCUGGUUGGCUAGGCAGGUGUUCCUUCAUCCCACCAUUUCCUUGUUCAUCCCUCUUGAAGCUGCCUGCUUGGUUGAUGAGGAUGACUUCCCCCAAAUGAGGAGUACUGCUUCCUUGGUCAAAGCUAUAUGAUUAGCUUUGUUCUCCUGCUAGAACCUCCAAAUAAGCUCUCAAGGCCAGAUGAUAUGUUUGACGGAUGGCAUCUGAAACUUCGUAUGU
Non-coding RNA from Fukomys damarensis (Damara mole-rat), 261 nucleotides. The record is from Rfam. Lineage: Eukaryota; Metazoa; Chordata; Mammalia; Rodentia; Bathyergidae.